RNAcentral lists this ribosomal RNA (253 nucleotides) under uncultured bacterium. Its description in RNAcentral is "partial 16S ribosomal RNA". It matches the Rfam family "Bacterial small subunit ribosomal RNA", at positions 524 to 776 of the family's 1533-position model. The record is from RNAcentral.
UACGUAGGGUGCAAGCGUUAAUCGGAAUUACUGGGCGUAAAGCGUGCGCAGGCGGUGAUGUAAGACAGAUGUGAAAUCCCCGGGCUCAACCUGGGAACUGCAUUUGUGACUGCAUCGCUAGAGUACGGCAGAGGGGGAUGGAAUUCCGCGUGUAGCAGCGAAAUGCGUAGAUAUGCGGAGGAACACCGAUGGCGAAGGCAAUCCCCUGGGCCUGUACUGACGCUCAUGCACGAAAGCGUGGGGAGCAAACAGG